GAUGAAGGACGCAGCGAAAUGCGAUAAGUAAUGUGAAUUGCAGAAUUCAGUGAAUCAUCGAAUCUUUGAACGCACAUUGCGCCCCCUGGUAUUCCGGGGGGCAUGCCUGUUCGAGCGUCAUUUCAACCCUCAAGCUCUGCUUGGUAUUGAGUCCAUGUCAGCAAUGGCAGGCUCCAAAAUCAGUGGCGGCGCCGCUGGGUCCUGAACGUAGUAAUAUCUCUCGUUACAGGUGCUCGGCGUGCUUCUGCCAAAACCCCAAUUUUUCUAUGGUUGACCUCGGAUCAGGUAGGGAUACCCGCUGAACUUAAGCAUAUCAAUAAGCGGAGGA
This 328-nucleotide unclassified non-coding RNA is filed under the name soil metagenome. Its description in RNAcentral is "partial contains 5.8S ribosomal RNA, internal transcribed spacer 2, and large subunit ribosomal RNA". The stretch from base 1 to 120 matches the Rfam family "5.8S ribosomal RNA", at positions 35 to 154 of the family's 154-position model. The record is from RNAcentral.